GACAGAGGGUGCAAACGUUGCUCGGAAUUACUGGGCGUAAAGCGCGUGUAGGUGGAUUGGUGUGUCAGAUGUGAAAUCCCUGGGCUCAACCCAGGAACUGCACCUGAAACUACCAGUCUUGAGUGGUGGAGAGGGAAGUGGAAUUCCUGGUGUAGAGGUGAAAUUCGUAGAUAUCAGGAGGAACACCAGUGGCGAAGGCGGCGAUCUGGGUAGAUACUGACGCUGAGGUGCGAAAGCGUGGGGAGCAAACAGG
Molecule: ribosomal RNA, 253 nt
Filed under: uncultured bacterium
Lineage: Bacteria
Description: partial 16S ribosomal RNA
Rfam family: Bacterial small subunit ribosomal RNA
Source: RNAcentral